Molecule: ribosomal RNA, 405 nt
Filed under: uncultured bacterium
Lineage: Bacteria
Description: partial 16S ribosomal RNA
Rfam family: Bacterial small subunit ribosomal RNA
Source: RNAcentral
AUUGAACGCUGGCGGCAGGCCUAACACAUGCAAGUCGAGCGAGCGGCGGACGGGUGAGUAAUGUCUGGGAAACUGCCUGAUGGAGGGGGAUAACUACUGGAAACGGUAGCUAAUACCGCAUACCAUCAGAUGUGCCCAGAUGGGAUUAGCUAGUAGGUGGGGUAACGGCUCACCUAGGCGACGAUCCCUAGCGGGUCUGGGGGGAUGACCAGCCACACUGGAACUGAGACACGGUCCAGACUCCUACGGGGGGCAGCGUGGGGAAAUAUUGCAAAAUGGGCGCAGGCCGGAUGCACCCAGCCCGCGUGUGUGAAGAGGGCUUUCGGGUUUAAAGCACUUUCAGCGGGGAGGCGUUACCCGCAGAAGAAGCACCGGCUAACUCCGUGCCAGCAGCCGCGGUAAUUC